GUUUAUAACCAUGCCAUCCUGACCAUACCAAAUCUAUCUGAUCUUGGAAGCUAAGCAGGGUUGGCCCUGGCUCAUACUUGGAUGGGAGAAUGGCACAGGUGACCACUUCAAAUAAGAAGGUCAGGUAAUAAUUAAUU
Molecule: ribosomal RNA, 137 nt
Organism: Marmota marmota marmota (Alpine marmot)
Lineage: Eukaryota; Metazoa; Chordata; Mammalia; Rodentia; Sciuridae
Source: Ensembl